RNAcentral lists this long non-coding RNA (2095 nucleotides) under Homo sapiens (human). Its description in RNAcentral is "non-protein coding lnc-ME3-1:1". The record is from RNAcentral. Lineage: Eukaryota; Metazoa; Chordata; Mammalia; Primates; Hominidae.
GAGACGGAGUCUCGCUCUUUCGCCCAGGCAGGAGUGCAGUGGCGCUAUCUUGGCUCACUGCAAGCUCCACCUCCCGGGUUCACACCAUUCUCCUGCCUCAGCCUCCCGAGUAGCUGGGACUACAGGUGCCCACCACCGUGCCCGGCUAAUUUUUUGUAUUUUUAGUAGAGACGGGAGAAUUGCUUGAACCUGAGAGGUGGAGGCUGCAGUGAGCCGAGAUUGCACCACUGCAUUCCAGCCUGGGCGACAGAGCGAGACUCUGUCUCAAAUAAAAGUGGAGUUACUUUUGUGCAGAGUUUCCACUCCCCUGGUAAGAACAAAAUACUUGUGUGUAUGAGACACAAAUAUCAAUUCUGUAAUUUCUAAUUUCACAUAAGAGGUAAAGGCUCUUAUGUUUGUAUUUAAAAUGAUCAUUACACCAGGCCUGGUGGCUCACACCUGUAAUCCCAGCACCUUGGGAGGCUGAGGCAGGUUGGAUCACUUGAGGUCAGGAGUUCGAGACCAUCCUGGCCAACAUGGUGAAACCCUGUCUCUACUAAAAAUACAAAAAUUAGCUGGGCUUGGUGGCGCACGCCUGUAAUCCCAGCUACUCAGGAGGCUGAGGCAGGAGAAGCUCUUGAAACUGGGAGGCGGAAGUUGCAGUGAGCUGAAAUCACACCCCUGCACUCCAGCCCGGGCAACAAGAGCGAAACUCUGUCUCAAAAAAAUAAAAUGAUCAUUACACAAUAUGAAAAUGAAUAAUAAAAUUCAUGCUAACAAUUUUACUUUACUUAGAAUGGCAUUAAGUAGCAAAAUUUAAAACCACGACCAGUUGAGAAAUUGUUAAAGGAUGGAAAAAGCUUUAUAGUUAGUACCUUUAACCUAAUUUUUCCUUUUAAUUUUUUUUUCUUUUUUUGAGACAGGGUCUUGCUCUGUCACCCUGGCUGGAUUGCAGUGGUGUGAUCACAGCUCACUGCAGCCUCAGCCUCCUGGGCUCAAGUGAUACUCCCACCUUAGCCUCCCUAGUAGCUGGGACUACAGGUGCACACUACUCCACCCAGCUAAUUUUCAAAUAUUUUGUAGAGACAGCGUCUUGCUAUGUUGCUUAGGGUGGUCUCAAACUCCUGGGCUCAAGCAGUCCUCCUGCCUUGGCCUCCCAAAGUGCUGCGAUUACAGGCAUGAACCACCGCACCCGGCCCAAGGAGUUUGCCUUUUCAUUUUGCACUGGGCCCUGGAUAUUACAUAGCUGACCUUGUCUUCAGGACUAGGAAAAGGACCGAUAGAAUCCUGUGUUCCUUUUGAAUUAAUCUACAUUUCUUUGACAACAAGCUGGACAUAGGCUUCAUGAAGUACAGGGGGCUCCAGGAAUACUUUGUUCUGAAAUCCAAGAAUCCUCACUGUAUCCUUUACCCAAGCUCUGGCAUAUGUCAUCAUGACUUUGGUUCCCUUGGGGCAAAGAGCAUACUUUUGGCCUGAAUGGACAUUGAGUGUGGGGGUGCUUAACACCUCUGAACAGGUCUUGUCCACUUUUGAGUUGGAGGGCAGGUCAGCUAGGUGUGCACUUCCAAAAGAGCCCUCACUGUCCAAGGUGCAGUUGUAAUCCAGGAAGGAAAUGAGGUCCAUGAUGUGCCACUAUGUGGAGAACUCACAGGUUAUCACAACACUGAAACUCUUGAUGAAUGAUUACUGGAGGAGGGAGUUUACAUCGUGUCAGGCCCUACACUAUGGAGUGUAGGGAUGCCACCCUUGGUUCCCAUUGUCCAAAAACAAAACCCAGGAACUUCCACAUCUUACUGUCCUUCACAUUGGUGUGGAAGGCUUUGAAGAAUCUGCUGUCCUGAUGAGCGCCUUGUCUCACCACAAAAGGCUACAACAGGGAUAUGGCAUCAAUUGGAUCCUCAUCCAGCUUGAAAUAAACCGUGGAAGCUGCUUUUCCUCAGGACCCGAUAGAGGGUGAAGUUCUGGGCUUGGUAGAGACUGAAGCAGACUGGCACAUCAGUGGUCACGACUGCAGUCAAAGUGGGAGACACGAUGGUAAGGAAGAUGCCAGAACCACCUGCUAUUUCUCCUAGCUCUAUCAUACAUGCCCACAUGGCACUCAAGUAUCCUGGUAGCA